Heterocephalus glaber (naked mole-rat) is the source of this 163-nucleotide small nuclear RNA. Its record names the gene U1. It matches the Rfam family "U1 spliceosomal RNA". From Rfam's summary of the family: U1 is a small nuclear RNA (snRNA) component of the spliceosome (involved in pre-mRNA splicing). Its 5' end forms complementary base pairs with the 5' splice junction, thus defining the 5' donor site of an intron. There are significant differences in sequence and secondary structure between metazoan and yeast U1 snRNAs, the latter being much longer (568 nucleotides as compared to 164 nucleotides in human). Lineage: Eukaryota; Metazoa; Chordata; Mammalia; Rodentia; Bathyergidae. The record is from Ensembl.
AAACUUACCUGCCAGGGGAGGAGUCCGAAUCUCAAAGGUGGCUUUCCCAGUGUGAUGUUCAUUUUUGGAGCCUGGAUAUGCCGACCUCCAUAGUUUCCCUAAAUGAGGGAAGCUUUUCAGCAUAAUCACUGAUAAUGUGAGAUUGUGCUCAGCCUGUCCCUUU